UCCCGGCCUGAUAAAGGAGCCGAGGCCAAGAGGGGAGAGAGACCCCGCCCCCUUGAGAAGAGAAGCCGCAGCCCCUGCAGGACGGGGGUAAGAAAGAGAGACCGAGGGGCCAGAUUCCUGGGUCUCCGAAGAGGAUUGGGGCUUGUUGAUGGCCCGCGUCGCUAUGGGUUCCACCACUACUCCGGAGGGAGCGCUGGGCUACGUCCGCGAGUUCACUCGCCACUCCUCCGACGUGCUCGGCAACCUGAAUGAGCUGCGCUUGCGCGGGAUCCUCACUGACGUCACGCUGUUGGUUGGCGGGCAGCCCCUUCGAGCUCACAAGGCAGUUCUUAUCGCCUGCAGUGGCUUCUUCUACUCAAUUUUCCGAGGUCGUGCAGGAGUGGGGGUAGACGUGCUCUCCUUGCCCGGGGGCCCCGAAGCUGGAGGCUUCGCUCCUCUUCUGGACUUCAUGUACACUUCGCGCCUACGCCUCUCACCAGCCACUGCACCAGCUGUCCUUGCGGCCGCCACCUACUUGCAGAUGGAACACGUGGUCCAGACAUGCCACCGCUUCAUCCAGGCCAGCUAUGAACCUCUGGGCAUCUCCCUGCGGCCCCUGGAGGCAGAACCUCCUACGACCCCAACGGCCCCUCCACCAGGCAGCCCCAGGUGCUCUGAAGGGCACCCAGACCCACCUACUGAGUCUCGCAGCUGCAGUCAAGUCCCUCCCAGUCCAGGCAGCCCAGACCCCAAGGCCUGCAACUGGAAGAAGUACAAGUUCAUCGUGCUAAACUCUCAGGCCUCCCAAGCAGGGAGUCUGUCAGGGGACAGGAGUUCUGGUCAACUAUGCCGCCAAGCUGGGCUCUCCAGUGGAGAUGAGGCUUCCAGCAGCAGCAGUGGCAGUGAAGAAGGACCCAUUCCUGGUCCCCAAAGCAGGCUCUCUCCCACUGCUGCCACUGCACAGUUCAAAUGUGGAGCUCCAGUCAGUAACCCCCCUCUCCUCACACCCUUGGCUCAAGAGACCACAGGAUCUCCCUCUGGGGGAGUUCAUCCGCCACCAGGAAGUGAAUUUUUCAGCUGCCAGAACUGUGAGGCUGUGGCUGGGUGCUCAUCAGGGCUGGACUCCUUAGCUCCUGGGGAUGAGGACAAGCCAUACAAGUGUCAGCUCUGCCGGUCUGCCUUCCGUUACAAGGGCAACCUGGCCAGUCACCGCACAGUGCAUACAGGGGAGAAGCCCUACCACUGCUCCAUCUGCGGAGCCCGCUUCAACCGGCCGGCUAACCUGAAAACGCAUAGCCGCAUCCAUUCGGGAGAGAAACCCUACAAAUGUGAGACGUGCGGCUCGCGCUUUGUUCAGGUAGCUCAUCUGCGCGCUCAUGUGCUGAUCCACACCGGGGAGAAGCCCUAUCCUUGUCCCACCUGUGGGACUCGCUUCCGCCACCUACAGACCCUGAAGAGCCAUGUUCGCAUCCACACCGGAGAGAAGCCUUACCACUGCGACCCCUGUGGCCUGCAUUUCCGGCACAAGAGUCAACUGCGGCUGCAUCUGCGCCAGAAACACGGAGCUACUACCAACACCAAAGUGCAUUACCACAUUCUGGGGGGACCCUAGCUGAGUGCUGGCCCAGACCCCACUCGCUUCCUGGAAGCCGGGAAUGCUGCGGGCUGGCACCUGGCUUUCUGGUCAGGUUUGGGCAUGGGGGUGUGCAAGGCCCCUCCGGGGCAGAAUUUGCCACUACCUUAAAUUCUUACUGGGUAGAGCAGGGGUGGCAGAUCCCGGCUUGAUCUGCUUCUGUUUUGCUGGUCAAAACCUCUUCCCACAAUCAAAAUUGUUGCUGAGGAGAGAGCAAGCUGGGAGCUGGAGGAGGGGAGAGGCUUGAGGCCUCCUUCUCUUAAGGGGAUAGCCCUCCUCCUGCAGCCCCCAUCUCAUUUGGUUUAUCUGUAAAUAUAAUUUAUUGAGGGCCUUCAUUCUAUUGCAUUUCCCACUUCCUUCUUCCAGAAGUGUGACCAAAAGUGACCUGAAACACAGAAUGUGAGGUCAUAGCUCUGCUGGCAGAGAUUAGCACUUGGCUGUCUCCUUUGGCUCGAGUGUUUUAUAUUAUUAUUGUCAUAUCUUUUAUCUUUAGAAUUGUUCUUUUUCCUAUUUGUUUGCUUGUUGGUUUGUUUAAAAUGGAGAAAGAGAUUCUCUGUGUCCUGCCCCUCCAAUUCUAGGUCUGGAACCUUUAAGCUAGGGCAGCUCUGGGAACAUGUGAGUUUGUGGAAUUGGGUCAGGAACCCUCUCUGGUAUUCUGGAUAUUGUGGGUUCUCUAGCAGGCUAGAACUGGAUAUAGACUUUUCUCUGUUCUUCAGGGGUUAUAGGAGCCUUUAUGGUGAGCCUGAAAUGGAGGUAAUAAAUGCCUCCUGGAGGCUGUGGGGUCUGCGGGCUUUGAACUGGACUGGAGGGGUGAUUGAGAGGCUUUCUCUUAUGCCCCUAACUGUCCCAUUAGUCUGGUCACCUGGGUUUGGCUCUGCUUUGUCUAUCUGUCAUGAUAGAGCCCACCCAGGGAUUUCAGUUGAGCCCAUAAUCCUCCCACUAGGUCCUGUUCCUGGCACUAAAUUGAUCCCUCCAUGGGGGAGAUAGAUGAAAUUCCUUAUCAGAGAUAAUGCACCCUUUUCUGUUUCCACCCAGUCUCUGAGAUUGUUAUGACCUAGGGGAGAAUUACAAAACUCAUCUUGACUGAUUGGUAAAGAGUUAUGACUCGGUCCUUAACUGCAAAGGCAUCUAGGUUUGAAUGUUCAUUGGGGUUGUCUCUACCUGAGAGGAACUCCUCUUCUAGUGGGUUUUGGACAUCUUCUGGCAAGUGUCCAGAUUCCAGAAACUUCUUUGCCUCUGGAAGUCACUGUUAACUUUCUUCCCUUAGAAAAGCUGGGUCUGUGACCUGGUGUUCCCAUCACUGCAUUCCUAUCUGGAACCAGUGAAUGCACUAGAAACUUCCACAGGGAGAGAAAAAGGGCUGAGUUCCAUUCUGGAUUUGCUGUAGUUUGGAUUUUGAUUGGAAUUACCAGUGGGAUUAGGGAUUUAAAAGAUUUGAAGGACUGAUUGAUUGACUGGACCUUCUAGUUGACCAAGUAACCAGGUAGGAUUAAGAGGUUGGUUGAGGGGCACAGUCUCUGGUAUAGGCCAAGUAAGUAGAAAGUUAAGAAUGGGGUUGCCUCUUGGUGGAAUGUCUGGAAUGUUAGAUGAUACUCUGAAGCUUUGAUUUACAGUUCCUCCUAUUGCCCUGGGGUGUGAUUAUGGAGCAUGGGGUGGAGGGUAAGAAGCACUUUGAAUUUAUAGGGUAGAACUUCCUCAGCAUAGGUCAGUACUAGCGGCUGUCACUUGGGGACUAGUGAGAAAGCUACUCUUCUCCCUCUUUUCCUCUUCCUCCCUACUGCAGAAUUAAAGGAGGGAGGGAAAAGGGAAGGGAGAUGUAAGAAGGAACCAUGAUUUUUUUUUUUUUUUAGCAGAUUGAAUGGGCAGGUGGAGAGUGCCUAGGGGUGGAGAUGUUAGAUCUUGCAAGAUCAGAAUCAUGGAAUAAAGAAGCCUCUCUGUGCUGCCUGCUGUGUUGUGUCCUGGGUUCUUGCCUGGGAGAUCUGGGGACUGGGAACCAGUGACUUCAUGAAGUUUCUCCGGAGCCACCUGCAUCCUGCUGCUCUGAAGUCACAUCCUGCCUGGGGUGUGGAAGCAGCAGGGAGAAACCAGGAAACCACUAAUAAUACCAAGAGGCUGGGGGAUGCAUCUGUGC
RNA transcript from Manis pentadactyla (Chinese pangolin), 3743 nucleotides. It is a transcript of the gene named BCL6B transcription repressor, with no coding region annotated. The record is from RefSeq and is a predicted model, not a curated record. The transcript has 10 exons. Lineage: Eukaryota; Metazoa; Chordata; Mammalia; Pholidota; Manidae.